AUUGGGCUUAGUUAGGAGGCAUAAAUCAAUCUGAUCUUUUUGAUACUUUUCUGUAUUGGUUUGAUCUUAAUGACUUGAGGUCUUUUGAGGAGGAGCUCUGCUUUCUUGCUGCUUCUCCCAAGCAGCCUCAGACAUUA
Molecule: non-coding RNA, 137 nt
Organism: Brassica rapa (field mustard)
Lineage: Eukaryota; Viridiplantae; Streptophyta; Magnoliopsida; Brassicales; Brassicaceae
Source: Rfam